RNAcentral lists this ribosomal RNA (161 nucleotides) under uncultured bacterium. RNAcentral describes it as "partial 16S ribosomal RNA". It matches the Rfam family "Bacterial small subunit ribosomal RNA", at positions 355 to 507 of the family's 1533-position model. The record is from RNAcentral.
CUAAGAAUAUUCCGCAAUGGACGAAAGUCUUGACGGAGCGACGCCGCGUGGAUGAAGAAGGCCGAAAGGUUGUAAAGUUCUUUUGCUAGGGGAGAAUAAGUGAGGGAGGGAAUGCCCUCAUGAUGACAAGGACUAGCGAAUAAACCCCGGCCAACUACGUG